RNAcentral lists this long non-coding RNA (1071 nucleotides) under Carica papaya (papaya). RNAcentral describes it as "long non-coding RNA (CPAP_LNC003851)". The record is from RNAcentral. Lineage: Eukaryota; Viridiplantae; Streptophyta; Magnoliopsida; Brassicales; Caricaceae.
AAUCCCAGGCUUUCCCUUCACUAACCCCUUAAACAAAACCCCCAAACACCUGGUCCCCAAAUAAACACUUCAAAGUAAAUAUAAUCUACCAUCCACUGCUAAAGAAAAAAAAAAUUGCAAAAACAAGGAUUAAAGAAGAUAAAAACAAAACCCAAAAAUAUGGAGAGUCGUUUAGUUAAUAGGGGUAUUCGAAUUCCAACAAAAAUUCAAUAUUUGCAGGUUUAUGCCGAAUCUGUCGCGGAAGAGGGGAACUUUGAAACUAUCUGAGAUGAUAAAAGUAUAUUACCGCCCUUAAAUAACAAAUGGGAAGUGCAACAAGUACUACAAAAAUCUGGAUGUUCAGAAAACGAUCACAGAAAACACAGACGAUUUUCAAGGUGGCACUUUAUAAUUCGUAAAUUCCCCAACUAAAACGAAAGACAGAUUUGAAAUUGACAAAUGAAAAUCGCAACCUAACAAAGAGGGGAAAAAAACCCUAGAAAAUGAUUGAAAAAAUAAAUAAGAUAAAAAAAAAGACCCUAUAGAAGGAAUACAAGAGAGGCGAUGAAAAGAGUCAGAUAAUCAAAAACCCAGGAGAGAAGAUGUCGGCAAAUCAGAAGAGGGAGCAGAUAGCAAAUGCGAAGAGGAAAGAUUGAGGGCAUUAAAUUAAAUAGAGUGGAAGGAGAGGGUUCGGAAUGAAUAUUAGGUUUUUUUGACGACAGAGAGAGUAGGGGGAGAGUUUGGUUUGGCUGAUGAGAAAAGAAGAUUGUGGAGGCGACAAAGAAAGGCUUGACGUUAAGAGAGUUGGGCAAUAGAGGGGUUUUUGAUUUUUGAAUUUCUUAAUUUAUUGAGAGAGAAUAGAUAGAAUCUGGGCAACACAGCGAGCGAGCGAGCGAGAGAAAAAGAGAGAGACAGACACAGAGAGAGAGAGAGAGAGAGAGAGAGGAGAGAGUGUACGCGAUUAAACAUUAUUUUAUAUAAAUAUUUUUUUAAUUUUCUGGGCUAAGCCUUGUUUGGUUAGUUGCUGGGAUAACCCUUGUUUCAUUUCCCAUUCUUCUUGCUAAAUCGAUUCAUUUUUGAGAUCAAGUCUGG